Molecule: ribosomal RNA, 253 nt
Filed under: uncultured bacterium
Lineage: Bacteria
Description: partial 16S ribosomal RNA
Rfam family: Bacterial small subunit ribosomal RNA
Source: RNAcentral
GACGGAAGGUGCAAGCGUUGCUCGGAAUCACUGGGCGUAAAGGGUGCGUAGGCGGCCGUGCAAGUCUGGCGUGAAAGCCCCGGGCUCAGCCCGGGAAGUGCGCUCGAAACUGCGCGGCUCGAGUGCCGGAGGGGAGAGUGGAAUUCCUGGUGUAGCGGUGAAAUGCGUAGAUAUCAGGAGGAACACCGGUGGCGAAGGCGGAUCUCUGGGCCAUUACUGACGCUGAGGAGCGAAAGCGUGGGGAGCGAACAGG